RNAcentral lists this long non-coding RNA (297 nucleotides) under Elaeis guineensis (African oil palm). Its description in RNAcentral is "long non-coding RNA (EGUI_LNC057121)". Lineage: Eukaryota; Viridiplantae; Streptophyta; Magnoliopsida; Arecales; Arecaceae. The record is from RNAcentral.
GCUAGGAGAUCGAGUUAUGGUGUAGUCAAACUAUAACACACUUAAGGUGAACUGUUGAUGCACCUCAGGUCAAAGAACUAGAUACACAACUGCAGCAUCGAGCUUAGUCAUUGACGAGAAGGUAGACUUCCUUAUGACUACUCGAGGUGGUCACACUCAAUACUCUCAUUCUCAAUGAAUACCUGUACUCUCGCUCUGGUGUCUCUACACCGUAGACUCAAGAUACAUCUAUCCUAAGGAAGUGAUCGUACACCAAUCUUUCGGAUCAAUCACCAUCCUCAUAAUGAUCCUAUGGUC